Molecule: ribosomal RNA, 854 nt
Filed under: uncultured archaeon
Lineage: Archaea
Description: bacterial SSU rRNA
Rfam family: Archaeal small subunit ribosomal RNA
Source: RNAcentral
ACGGCUCAGUAACACGUGGUUAACCUACCCUCAGGACAGUAACAACCCCGGGAAACUGGGGCUAAUUUCUGAUAGAUGAGGAAGUCUGGAAUGACUCUUCGUUCAAAGGGUAUUGAUGACAUGCCUUUCAGUAUUGCCUGAGGAUGGGACCGCACCCGAUCAGGUUGUUGGUGAGGUAAAGGCUCACCAAGCCUAUAACCGGUACGGGCCUUGAGAGAGGGAGCCCGGAGAUGGGCACUGAGACAAGGGCCCAGGUCCUACGGGGCGCAGCAGGCGCGAAACCUCCGCAAUGCACGAAAGUGUGACGGGGUCACCCCGAGUGCCAUCCGCUGAGGGUGGCUUUUGUUCGGUGUAAUGAGCCGAAUGAAUAAGGGGAGGGCAAGUCUGGUGUCAGCCGCCGCGGUAAUACCAGCCCCCUGAGUGGUAAGGACGAUUAUUUGGCCUAAAGCGUCCGUAGCCGGCUUGGUAAGUCUCUCGUUAAAUCCAAUGAUUUAAUCAUUGGGCUGCAAGAGAUACUACCAUGCUAGAGGACGGGAGAGGUCGACGGUAGUCCAGGGGUAGGGGUGAAAUCCUAUAAUCCUUGGAGGACCACCAGUGGCGAAGGCGGUCGACUAGAACGUGCCUGACGGUGAUGGACGAAAGCUGGGGGAGCGAACCGGAUUAGAUACCCGGGUAGUCCCAGCUGUAAACGAUGCGGGCUAGGUGUUGGGGUAGCUACGAGCUACUCCAGUGCCGCAGAGAAGUUAUUAAGCCCGCCGCCUGGGGAGUACGGUCGCAAGGCUGAAACUUAAAGGAAUUGGCGGGGGAGCACCACAAGGGGUGGAGGCUGCGGUUUAAUUGGAUUCAACGCCGGA